CCUUGACCGAUGCCGAAGGGGUAUGGGAUGGUGAGGUUGCCGCAUGUUUCUUGGCAUCCAGGCUUCGCCAUCCUGGACGCUGUGCUGCUCUUGAUGCUUGCUAGCAGCAGCAGGGUGGCUGCAAAGAUUACCCAUGGUGAUUGAGCCAGGAAGGUUCUUGUUGACCCAGGGUCAAGACAGCGAAUGUACGGUGCAUGAAAGGAAGUUUCCCUGAUGUGACAUGUUGUAUCUGCAAUCGGGUCAAGUCGUUAAAGGGAGUCUUCCAAAGGACAAGAAGGCAAUCUAAUGCGCAUCCGGGUUCACGACAGCGAAGGUACUCAGGAAGGUGAGAAGGAGAAUGCUGGAACAAGGCGCGAAAACGCAGCAAGCUGAAGAACAUGUGGACAGCCAGCAUGGUGGGAGCACCAGUGAUGGUGUUGAUGCUGGAGGUCACCCUGGCAUGCCGAGGAUCAGAGAUGGCGCUGAUUGAGUUUGUGCUGCAGCUCAGACAGCUGACCACAUGUUGGUCUGUAAUAGGCAGCUCUGUUUGGUCCGUAAUAGUUGACCUGGAGUUUAUCUUCAUCCCGUGUGCUUUCGAUUUGACUUGAAGUUUAUCAUGUGUGCUUUCAAUAUGAUGAUGGUUGGUGUGUUUGCCGCAUAAAGACUAUGUGAGUAGUCAAACGUGAACAAUUUGAGUUUGUGAGGUAUUUGCAACUAAGCAGAAGUGUUGGCUUAUAAUCUAGAGUAUUUGUGUUGCUCUUUCUUUGGACAGCGAAGUUACUUUUAGCAGUA
This is a long non-coding RNA of Triticum dicoccoides, 771 nucleotides long. RefSeq lists it as uncharacterized. The record is from RefSeq and is a predicted model, not a curated record. NCBI's taxonomy places the organism in Eukaryota, Viridiplantae, Streptophyta, Magnoliopsida, Poales, Poaceae. The transcript has 3 exons.